CCCAAUCGUUUGAAGGUCCUUUGCAGGUCUAUGAUAGAUAAGAAUUAUUGUUUGAUCGAUCAUCGUUUUUUUAAAAUGAAUUUUUCAAAAAAAUGAAUUAUUUCUACGGAAGUUAUCAUUUUUUUUUUAAUUUAGCCCUAGAAUGUUGAAUGACCGCUCAAACGAUCGAGAAUCGUUUGCAAGUGAUUGAUAGAUGAUCAUCAAUCCCCUACAGAAUACUAAUUAUGAAUUAUUGAUAAAAAAUCAUUUUGAGGUUACUGAGCUCAGCGGCGGCGGAGUAGGGAGGUCGCCAUAUUGUAUCCAACAGCUGACAGUUUGCAUUUUGGAGCAUGGCGAAAAACUACUCCGAAACAACAGAUUCAUUUUAUUAUCCAAAAUGUAAGUCAUAAUUAACCGAUUGAAUGUAGUGAAUCCUAUGAAUGAAGUGAAGGGAUCAGCCAAUAAAACGUCAACUUGGCGAAAUUUUUUCACAAAAGUUUUUUUGUGUUGGAUUUACAGCCCAACGAGCGCAAAGUAGUUUCACUUCAAAAAUUAAUAAUAAUAAUCUUGGAGCCUCCUUGUAUAGAAUAAGCAUCAUUUGUCCCAAAUGUCUCUCCAGUGCACAAUCACAGGAUUUUGAUCGUAUUUUAUGGAACUGCCCGAAGUAUCAUGAACAGAGAAGAAAAUUGAAUAAAAAACUGAGAACCAAGAACUGUUCUUCUCUUUACACCACAACAAAAUUCACGAACACUAAAGACUACAACUAUAUCGAACAAAUGUAUAAUUAUGUUAAAGAGUCAAUCUAAAAGUAUAACAUUACAGAGUAAAGACACUUUAAAAUAACAAGAUUGAUGUGUCAAAAAAAUGUAAAGUUGAAAUUAUAAGAAAGUGAGACAAUGAUCGCUGUUCAAAAUGGUCACUUAGCCGAUACACUCCCGUGUAUGGUGAUACAACUAUGCUUCGUACAUUCCGUCGAUGUGCCUCAGUACGUUCUGAUGACCAAAUCAUAAAAAUCAAAGGAACAACGAUAUUAAUAACCUUUGACUAGAAGUAUUCAUGGCCGUGACAUGUAGUUUUAUUUCUAUGCUUGAUUCUUCCAAUUUGAACAGAAUUUUCAAUCGUUCAUUUUUCGAAUCCAAAAUUACUAACAAUAACACCAAUAGGAAGUUCUUAUAUAGUGAAUGUAUUGAAACUUGAAACAUUUUAUUUUCGUCAAGUUACAAAAAUCAUUGGAACAAAUAAAAAAUCAUAUGAUUAACAUUUCCAAUCGCGAAAAAACUACCAAUUCAUGUUUAGUACAAUGGUUCUGGAAAUCUUUGCAAUCUUUCACCGGAAUAUUAAAUUUUUCAUUCAUUUCAAUCAACUGAAAAAUUAUUCAUGAAGAGAAUUGGCAUUUCAUUUUGGUGUUUAUAGAAAAAUUUCAAGUACAUCAAUGCUGCGGUAUAUCAAUCAAGCACAUAGUUAAUCCCCCUCUUCUUAUUAUAUGUUAGUUAAUCCAUUUUAUAUUUCUUUUUUGAUUUUUUUAAAUAAUCGUUCAAAUAACUUAAGAAAGCUGUACAAAACGGAAAAAUAAGAAGACGAGAGAAUUUUUUCAUUUUUCGUGGCGUUUGGAAUGUCUCCAAUACUUAAAACCCAAUUUUUUCAAUGAAUUUUCUGAUGUUAUAGUCAAGUGAUGAGCUUCAGAUGAGAGUAUCCUAAGUAUUUUUUGCAUAGCUUCUAAGGGAAGAUUUUCAAGAGGAAAUACCGCAGAAGUUUUUUGCUAACAAAUCAGUUGUUCACAAAAAAAGUUCUCAUAAAUUUUGUUCUUAAAUCACUUAUGAGGAAAAUAAUUACCUAGUUAACAAAACGGUCCUGCCACUCAUCGACUCAACACCACAUUUGUUAAUCACGUAAUUAUGUCGAUAAUGAUUCGAUUUAGAAAGAAAUGUCACAAGAUAGUUUUCAGGGACUUAAUUGUCUAAAAAAAAAUCUUUUGGCAUUCGUUUGAAAGCUUUGGAGA
Diachasmimorpha longicaudata is the source of this 1978-nucleotide long non-coding RNA. RefSeq lists it as uncharacterized. The record is from RefSeq and is a predicted model, not a curated record. The transcript is spliced from 2 exons. Lineage: Eukaryota; Metazoa; Arthropoda; Insecta; Hymenoptera; Braconidae.